GUCUAUGGCCAUACCACCCUGAACGCGCCGGAUCUCGUCUGAUCUCGGAAGCUCAGCAGGGUCGGGCCUGGUUAGUACUUGGAUGGGAGAUAAAUCCCUUAGCCACGUUGGUUGAUAGUGUCAUUCACA
Ribosomal RNA from Ochotona princeps (American pika), 129 nucleotides. NCBI's taxonomy places the organism in Eukaryota, Metazoa, Chordata, Mammalia, Lagomorpha, Ochotonidae. The record is from Ensembl.